AGGGCAAUAGCUCAGUGGUAGAACACAUGCUUAGCAUGCACAAGGUCCUGGGUUCAAACCCCAGUACCUCCA
Molecule: transfer RNA, 72 nt
Filed under: Camelus bactrianus (Bactrian camel)
Lineage: Eukaryota; Metazoa; Chordata; Mammalia; Artiodactyla; Camelidae
Also listed under: 2 other names
Rfam family: tRNA
About the family: Transfer RNA (tRNA) molecules are approximately 80 nucleotides in length. Their secondary structure includes four short double-helical elements and three loops (D, anti-codon, and T loops). Further hydrogen bonds mediate the characteristic L-shaped molecular structure. tRNAs have two regions of fundamental functional importance: the anti-codon, which is responsible for specific mRNA codon recognition, and the 3' end, to which the tRNAs corresponding amino acid is attached (by aminoacyl-tRNA synthetases). tRNAs cope with the degeneracy of the genetic code in two manners: having more than one tRNA (with a specific anti-codon) for a particular amino acid; and 'wobble' base-pairing, i.e. permitting non-standard base-pairing at the 3rd anti-codon position.
Source: Rfam by way of RNAcentral